RNAcentral lists this ribosomal RNA (368 nucleotides) under uncultured Treponema clone RFS28p. RNAcentral describes it as "bacterial SSU rRNA". It matches the Rfam family "Bacterial small subunit ribosomal RNA", at positions 131 to 485 of the family's 1533-position model. Lineage: Bacteria; Pseudomonadati; Spirochaetota; Spirochaetia; Treponematales; Treponemataceae. The record is from RNAcentral.
UUGAGGACGGGGAUAGCCGUUAGAAAUAGCGGAUAAUACCGGAUAACGCUCAUCAUUGUUAGAGGGUGGUGAGGAAAGGGGUAACGGCCCCGCCUUAAGAGUGGCCCGCGGCCCAUUAUGCUCGUUGGUGCGGUAACGGCGCACCAAGGCUUUGAUGGGUAUCCGGCCUAAGAGGGUGAACGGACACAUUGGGACUGAGAUACGGCCCAGACUCCUACGGGAGGCAGCAGCUAAGAAUAUUCCGCAAUGGACGAAAGUCUGACGGAGCGNCGCCGCGUGGAUGACGAAGGCCGAAAGGUUGUAAAANCCUUUUGCUGCUGAAGAAUAAGCAGGGGAGGGAAUGCCCGUGCGAUGGCGUUAGGCAGCGA